Long non-coding RNA from Mercenaria mercenaria, 455 nucleotides. RefSeq lists it as uncharacterized. NCBI's taxonomy places the organism in Eukaryota, Metazoa, Mollusca, Bivalvia, Venerida, Veneridae. The record is from RefSeq and is a predicted model, not a curated record. The transcript has 2 exons.
AUGGCACAUAUAUUUGAGCUUAUUUUCAGAUUUUACAGUGUUACUGGAGUAUGGAACAGUGUAGCAGUUGGGGCUAUCGUGUUCAGGGAAUUUUCUGCAGCGAUUUAAAAAUCGGCAAAUUUAGCUUUUUUCGUCAUCAGUUUCCGCGACCGGGAGAGCACAAAAUUCAGGUCUUGUAAACAGAAAACUAGAUAUUAGAGAUGUAUUGUAGAUGGUUUGUAACGAUAGACAUACAGUGGUGUUAAUGUUGCAAUAUCUUUAUUUCAGGUGUGUGGUUACAGACUUUUGUGUGAGGUUUUGAAAGUUAGGUAGGCGACUCUAAGCCGAGAAGCUCAGAAAACUGUUUACUGCCUCCUUAAGAGCAAAUCUUGAAAAUUUGUGUGUGGUUACAGACUUUUGUGUGAGGUUUUGAAAGUUAGGUAGGCGACUCUAAGCCGAGAAGCUCAGAAAACUGU